This 301-nucleotide ribosomal RNA is filed under the name uncultured bacterium. Its description in RNAcentral is "partial 16S ribosomal RNA". It matches the Rfam family "Bacterial small subunit ribosomal RNA", at positions 509 to 809 of the family's 1533-position model. The record is from RNAcentral.
CAGUCGCCGCGGUAAUACGUAGGUGGCAAGCGUUGUCCGGAAUUAUUGGGCGUAAAGGGCUCGCAGGCGGUUUCUUAAGUCUGAUGUGAAAGCCCCCGACUCAACCGGGGAGGGUCAUUGGAAACUGGGAAACUUGAGUGCAGAAGAGGAGAGUGGAAUUCCACGUGUAGCGGUGAAAUGCGUAGAGAUGUGGAGGAACACCAGUGGCGAAGGCGACUCUCUGGUCUGUAACUGACGCUGAGGAGCGAAAGCGUGGGGAGCGAACAGGAUUAGAUACCCGUGUAGUCCUGUCUCUUAUACA